GAUGAACGCUAGCGGCAGGCCUAAUACAUGCAAGUCGAGGGAGAAUGUUGGAUUCGUCUGACAUGAAACCGGCGCACGGGUGCGUAACACGUAUGCAACCUACCUUUAACUGGGGUAUAGCUCAGAGAAAUCUGAAUUAAUCCCCCAUAAGACUACGACAUGGCAUCAUGAUGUAGUUAAAGCUCCGACGGUUAAGGAUGGGCAUGCGGUACAUUAGCUAGUUGGUGAGGUAAUGGCUCACCAAGGCUACGAUGUAUAGGGGGUCUGAGAGGAUGAUCCCCCACACUGGUACUGAGACACGGACCAGACUCCUACGGGAGGCAGCAGUAGGGAAUAUUGGUCAAUGGACGCAAGUCUGAACCAGCCAUGCCGCGUGAAGGAUGAAGGCCCUAUGGGUCGUAAACUUCUUUUAUUAGGGAAGAAAAAACGGGAUGCGUCCUGUACUGACGGUACUUAAUGAAUAAGGAUCGGCUAACUUCGUGCCAGCAGCCGCGGUAA
Molecule: ribosomal RNA, 498 nt
Filed under: uncultured bacterium
Lineage: Bacteria
Description: partial 16S ribosomal RNA
Rfam family: Bacterial small subunit ribosomal RNA
Source: RNAcentral